GAUGAACGCUAGCGGCAGGCUUAACACAUGCAAGUCGAGGGGCAGCAUGACACGGAGAUUCGUCGAAGUGUUGAUGGCGACCGGCGCAAGGGUGCGUAACGCGUGAGCAACUUGCCCGUUUCUGGGGAAUAACCGGUGGAAACGCCGACUAAUACUCCAUAGUAUAUCAGAAAGGCAUCUUUUUGAUAUUAAAGCUUCGGUGGUGACGGAUUGGCUCGCGUGACAUUAGCUAGAUGGAGAGGUAACGGCUCACCAUGGCGACGAUGUCUAGGGGAACUGAGAGGUUAAUCCCCCANACUGGUACUGAGACACGGUCCAGACUCCUACGGGAGCAGCAGUGAGGAAUAUUGGGUCAAAUGGUCAGACGACUGAACCAGCCAUGCCGCGUGAAAGGUGAACGGCCCUAUGGGUCUUAAACUUCUUUUGUAAGGGAGCAAUAAGGCGUACGUGUACGUCGAUGAGAGUACCUUACGAUAAGCAUCGGCUAACUCCG
This 493-nucleotide ribosomal RNA is filed under the name uncultured bacterium. RNAcentral describes it as "bacterial SSU rRNA". It matches the Rfam family "Bacterial small subunit ribosomal RNA", at positions 28 to 505 of the family's 1533-position model. The record is from RNAcentral.